This 76-nucleotide transfer RNA is filed under the name Firmicutes bacterium ADurb.Bin419. RNAcentral describes it as "tRNA-Lys". It matches the Rfam family "tRNA". Rfam says of the family: Transfer RNA (tRNA) molecules are approximately 80 nucleotides in length. Lineage: Bacteria; Bacillati; Bacillota. The record is from RNAcentral.
GGGUGAUUAGCUCAGUUGGUAGAGCAGCUGACUCUUAAUCAGCGGGUCAUAGGUUCAAAUCCUAUAUCACCCACCA